GCUCUUUGUAGGACUACUAAGUGUGUUCUGUUACUGGCUAUCAUGCUGUAUAUUAUAAUGCUUCUGGCACAGUAAAAGUAUCACAGAGGACGACAGAAGCUCUCAGUCCUUCCUUCCUUCCAGGUACAAGAUAAACUGUUGGAAAGCUCGAGGAGAGGCAUGAGGACGCUCAGUGUCUACCUGACCACAGAUGAUGUGCUUAACAGGCUGACCUCCACAGACAGCUGCAGCGACCAGGAAGCGAGGGCAGGGGUGCCUCUGGGAAGCCUCCCGGGGAGCGGCUCUCGCCAGCAAACACACCUUCCAUUUAGGAGAAGGGAAAUGUGAAGCUUGUCGGCAGCACACCUGUUAACACAUUGCAUCAGGCUAAUGUAGCCCUUUCUUCAUGAAGCCUCCCGAAUGCUCACAGUGUCCUAUUAGGAGGGUGACAGCAAAACCAAGUAAUAAGAACAUGCAGAUGGCUGUCUAGAGCUGCUUCUCUGCUUCUGUCAUUGUGACAAAAUUCCUGAGAUAACCGACUUAGAAGGAGAAAAGGUUUAUUUUAGCUCCUGGUUGUUUGGCCCUGCUGCUUUGGGCUGGUGGCAGCAUAGUAUGAAAGGGCAGGAGCACUCAGUGGAGGAAGCCUGCUCACCUCAUGGUGGCCAGGAAGCCGAGAGAGAGGACGAGGAGGGGCCAGGGCCCCAACAUUCCCGUCCAGGGCACGCUCCCCCCACCCCACAGUGGCCUCACCUCCUACCGCAAGCCCCACCUCUGCCACGUUCCAUCACUUCCCAGUAGCACCCUGGACUGGGGAAUGAGCCUCUUCACCAUGUGGACCUUUGAGGAACAUUCCAGAUACAAACUGUAGCAAGCAAUGAGUACUCGUGAGGCCUGUUCCCUAGCAGACGAACACGUACGAUGUGCAUGUGCUCCCACCCCUCUGCUUAGGAGGGCAGAGCACCCAACUGCAGAAUGCGGAAGAAGCAGAGUCAAAACACCAAAUGGUCUUUCAGAGUUAAACAGACGCUUAAAAUACCAAGUUUGUUUAGUCUUCUCAGUUAAUCCAUCAUCCAUCUAAUUCGAAUUCACUGUUUCUGUUAAUAAACAUCAUGUCCAGUGGGGGCUGGGGCCAAGAGAAAAGGCCUUCAGGUACAGGAGGACAGACGUCUUCAGAGAAUGUUCCAAGAGAAACCCCACACUCCAGGCUCUGCAGACCGAGGUAUUUUGCAGUGAAUAUGCUACAAAAGAAUUUGUUAAAGUAAUCGCCUUUACUAGUCGGUGGUUUCCACAGCAGCUGCACAGCAACUCACGUGCAUAAUCGGGCUCUAAUGAAGGGGACAGCCAACUGUGCCAGAGGAUACUCUAUCCCAAUCUUCUCCGCAUGUGGGUGAAGCCAGCUAUUGUCUACAACCGUGUUCUGUGAACUCUCUAAUAUGCAUGUCACAUUAUUCUGUCCUGUCCCCAGACUGGCCACUAUUACCUCCGUUAUAUGUGUCUGGGGUGGGUGAGAGUUGAAGUAACUUGACCAGGCUCACACCAUAAGUUCAAGUUUGGAUUCCACAUCUGUGCAACUCAUCCACAUUUAAUUCCUCCAGUACUUCAUGCUGAUUAAAAAAAAAAAAAAAAGCUCCUCUGCAAAGUUGUUUCUGAUCAUUUUAGUCUAAAUUCCACAUUUCUCAGGCUAUAAUGGAAGCAGAUCUUAUUUUACAAAGCAGGAUCCAAGCCCUACAGGACUGGAGGUCUCCUUAGGCCUCUCAUCAUCCUGAGGAGUCGCCCAGGCAACAGCCUAUGGAAGCUGAGUCCCCACACCUGGCUGUGUCUGUCCCUGAAUAGAGGCUCCAGCCAACUGAGGCCCAGGAGCCAGAGCGCCUCGGGGCUCUGUGUCCUGCCUGGGGCCCACCUCAGCCCAGGAGAGGCCGUUUUUUUGGAAUUGCUCUGCUAAGACAGGGCACUUUCUGGCAAGGUUUCCCAGGUCGCCCUUGCCUGAGUCACAUGGGACCUGGAGGCAUGCUGGCUGCAGGGGAGUAAAGGCCCCCACCUGCAUAUUUGCACCCUCAAGGGCAGGGAGUGCUGUGUGGAAGCCUCCCAUGCCAGCAGGCAUGUCAGCAGGGAUGCCAGAAGGGAUGCCAGGCCAGAGGGAGUGAGCCCUGAGGGAAGGGGGCGGGGCAGAGCCCUGGGCAUCCAAGGCCACUGUGAACAAACCCACCAUAUUUAAGGAAGCCAAACUGUGGAUCCUGAUAUUCCAUAGAGUUCUAUUAUGUUCUCAAUGUUUUAUAAUGAGAAACAACAAAAUUUACUUCAGACCUCACUUUAUGUACCUGCAUUGCUUCCAAGGGACCAUUAACGUUAAAAUUAAAUUGAUUAAGGAUUUGGUGGAAACAUUUUAUAUGGAAUCAUGCUAAAUGGAAAAAAUCCUAAUACAGAAAAUUAGAGUGUAAGGGUAAAAGAAAUUGAAGUUAAAGCGUAAAAGUUAAAGGGUAAAAGACCAGGUGUUGUAAAGUUUCUAAGCUGCAAGGUCUGAGUUAAAAUGUAAAGGAUUAGGUAUUGUUAGGUUUCUAUGUUACCUGCAAAACCUGAAAUUUCUGCAGCUGUUAAGACAAUGCUUAGAACCGCCCAGUAAACAUUUCCCCUGGCUGUUUGGUUGUUUAAUAACUGAAGGGCUCUGUGUAACUGGUCACGUAGUCCUUUAGGCCCUAAAACCAAUCAGUUUGAAUGGGUACCCCGUUUAGGAAUGACCUAUCACUCCAGCCUGACCUGUUCCCACCAAUGAAUGAACUAAUCAUGUUUAGGAGUUGUUGUUCAGUUUUCCCGCGCCUCAUGAUGAUUUGUUCUGAUGUAUACAAAGCCCUCCGCCCUCCCCAAAAAGUGUACUUAAGCAGUGCUCAGCCCCUGCUCGGGGCUCUGGGCUGCUUUCCCUUCUUGAGUGGGCACGGAGCCCCAGCAUGCUGGUUCAAUAAAUCCCCUUCUGCCAAUUGCAUGAGUGGUCACUUGGUGGUCUCUUUCUCCGACGCUUCGCCUGACCCUUACAACAGGAUGCUCUGAGACAAAGACACCCUGAGGAUAAUGAAUCUGGUGUUUUUCCUGUUGUUGAUGCCUUUAAGUUUGUUAAAAAAUAAACACAGUGUGAUACAAAAUAUAAAAUUUGAUUUGCAAUUUUAUCAUAUUUUUAGAAAUUACCAGAACUGCUUGUUUCGAUUAAGUGCUCAUGAUUGAUUUGUUUGGAAGCUUUAUUACUAUGUCUUCAGUUGGUUAGAAAACAGUAGGAGAAACAAGGAUUUAGGAAGAUGAAAUCCAAGACUGUGAACCAUGAGUUAGUG
Molecule: long non-coding RNA, 3296 nt
Filed under: Marmota monax (woodchuck)
Lineage: Eukaryota; Metazoa; Chordata; Mammalia; Rodentia; Sciuridae
Source: RNAcentral